RNAcentral lists this ribosomal RNA (465 nucleotides) under uncultured bacterium. RNAcentral's name for it is "partial 16S ribosomal RNA". It matches the Rfam family "Bacterial small subunit ribosomal RNA", at positions 28 to 507 of the family's 1533-position model. The record is from RNAcentral.
GACGAACGCUGGCGGCGUGCUUAACACAUGCAAGUCGUACGGUAAGGCCCUUUCGGGGGUACACGAGUGGCGAACGGGUGAGUAACACGUGAGUAACCUGCCCACAACUUUGGGAUAACGCUAGGAAACUGGUGCUAAUACUGGAUAUGUGCUCCUGCUGCAUGGUGGGGGUUGGAAAGCUCCGGCGGUUGUGGAUGGACUCGCGGCCUAUCAGCUUGUUGGUGGGGUAGUGGCCUACCAAGGCGGCGACGGGUAGCCGGCCUGAGAGGGUGACCGGCCACAUUGGGGCUGAGAGACGGCCCAGACUCCUACGGGAGGAAGAAGUGGGGAAGAUUGCACAAUGGGCGCAAGCCUGAUGCAGCAACGCCGCGGGCGGGAUGACGGCCUUCGGGUUGUAAAACGCUUUCAGCAGGGACGAAGCUUUUUGUGACGGUACCUGCAGAAGAAGCACCGGCUAACUACGUG